Molecule: ribosomal RNA, 680 nt
Filed under: Acinetobacter sp. DH71-2
Lineage: Bacteria; Pseudomonadati; Pseudomonadota; Gammaproteobacteria; Moraxellales; Moraxellaceae
Description: bacterial SSU rRNA
Rfam family: Bacterial small subunit ribosomal RNA
Source: RNAcentral
AUUAGUGGGGGACAACGUUCCGAAAGGAGCGCUAAUACCGCAUACGUCCUACGGGAGAAAGCAGGGUGACCUUUGGGCCUUGCGCUAAUAGAUGAGCCUAAGUCGGAUUAGCUAGUUGGUAGGGUAAAGGCCUACCAAGGCGACGAUCUGUAGCGGGUCUGAGAGGAUGAUCCGCCACACUGGGACUGAGACACGGCCCAGACUCCUACGGGAGGCAGCAGUGGGGAAUAUUGGACAAUGGGGGGAACCCUGAUCCAGCCAUGCCGCGUGUGUGAAGAAGGCCUUUUGGUUGUAAAGCACUUUAAGCGAGGAGGAGGCUACCUAGAUUAAUACUUUAGGAUAGUGGACGUUACUCGCAGAAUAAGCACCGGCUAACUCUGUGCCAGCAGCCGCGGUAAUACAGAGGGUGCGAGCGUUAAUCGGAUUUACUGGGCGUAAAGCGUGCGUAGGCGGCCAAUUAAGUCAAAUGUGAAAUCCCCGAGCUUAACUUGGGAAUUGCAUUCGAUACUGGUUGGCUAAAGUAUGGGAGAGGAUGGUAGAAUUCCAGGUGUAGCGGUGAAAUGCGUAGAGAUCUGGAGGAAUACCGAUGGCGAAGGCAGCCAUCUGGCCUAAUACUGACGCUGAGGUACGAAAGCAUGGGGAGCAAACAGGAUUAGAUACCUGGUAGUCCAUGCCGUAAA